GGUUAAAAAGCUCGUAGUUGGAUUUCUGUCGGUGAGUGGCGCUCCGCCCAUAGUGGUGCUGUAGUCGUCACGCCCCCGUCAUCUUCCCAGGGACUGUGUCUGCACUUCGUUGUGUGGCGCCCUAUCUGGGACUUUUACUUUGAGGAAAUGAGAGUGUUUCAAGCAGGCAUGCGCCGUGAAUACGUUAGCAUGGAAUAAUAGCAUCGGACCUCGUUCCAAAGCUGUUGGUUUCUUGGAGCGAGGUAAAGGUGAGUAGGGAUUGUUGGGGGCAUUCGUAUUUAACUGUCAGAGGUGAAAUUCUUGGAUUUGUUGAAGACGGACUACUGCGAAAGCAUCUGCCAAAGAUGUUCUCAUUGAUCAAGAACGAAAGUUAGGUGAUCGAAGACGAUCAGAUACCGUCCUAGUCUUAACCAUAAACUAUGCCGACUGGAGAUCCGUGGUCGUUAAAUUGGUGACGCCAUGGGCAUCUUGAGAGAAAUCAAAGUCUUUGGGUUCCGGGGGGAGUAUGGUCGCAAGGCUGAAACUUAAAGGAAUUGACGGAAGGGCACCACCAGGAGCGGAGCCUGCGGCUUAAUUUGACUCAACACGGGAAAACUUACCAGGUCCAGACAUAGUAAGGAUUGACAGAUGGAUAGCUCU
Molecule: ribosomal RNA, 639 nt
Filed under: uncultured marine eukaryote
Lineage: Eukaryota
Description: SSU rRNA
Rfam family: Eukaryotic small subunit ribosomal RNA
Source: RNAcentral